AACGAACGCUGGCGGCAUGCCUAACACAUGCAAGUCGAACGAGACCUUCGGGUCUAGUGGCGCACGGGUGCGUAACGCGUGGGAACCUGCCCUUAGGUUCGGAAUAACUCCCCGAAAGGGGUGCUAAUACCGGAUAAUGUCUUCGGACCAAAGAUUUAUCGCCUUUGGAUGGGCCCGCGUUGGAUUAGCUAGUUGGUAGGGUAAAAGCCUACCAAGGCGACGAUCCAUAGCUGGUCUGAGAGGAUGAUCAGCCACACUGGGACUGAGACACGGCCCAGACUCCUACGGGAGGCAGGAGUGGGGAAUAUUGGACAAUGGGCGAAAGCCUGAUCCAGCAAUGCCGGGUGGGUGAUGAAGGCCUUAGGGUUGUAAAGCUCUUUUACCCGGGAUGAUAAUGACAGUACCGGGAGAAUAAGCUCCGGCUAACUCCGUG
RNAcentral lists this ribosomal RNA (433 nucleotides) under uncultured bacterium. Its description in RNAcentral is "partial 16S ribosomal RNA". It matches the Rfam family "Bacterial small subunit ribosomal RNA", at positions 29 to 507 of the family's 1533-position model. The record is from RNAcentral.